UCAUUGUCAACACUCAAACGAUUCAUUCCUGCAUCAGAUGUUUGAGGUGGCGUUAUGUUUGUUGCCAUCUCUGAUAUCAGUACAGCCGACGAGUUGAUCGGGAUAGUAGUGAAAUCAACUGGAUUCUCACUGGUUAAAAAGCCUUAAAGAGGAUUGGGUUUGACUGUUUGGGUUUGACUUCUCAAUCUGACCCUCAGUUAUCUGCUGCUGAUCUAGCUGUCUCGUGUCAGUCAAUAAACCUACAGCCUGAUUUUCCAUCAGAUGAGACCUCUGAAAUUCAGAAGCAAGCAGGAAGACACGAACAAAGACAACCAAAGGAAAAAUGCAGUCCGAGGAUGAUAUGGCACUCGGAUUGAAGCCAGACGCAGAGUCGAGAGAGACCCGCAUGGCUGGCAGCUGUUGAUGAGUGCGGCUUAUGGUCAUUUCCAAUUCAUCUCUAUACUGAAAGGUUCAGAUGUUCGCUUCACCACAGAUACACUUGUGGACCAAAAUCACUGUUUGGGUGGAUACAGAUGUCAUAUAAGUUCUAACAGGCCUCACAACAACAUGGGAUUUGUGCUUUUAAAAAGUCAUGGAAUGGCAAAUUGUACCGUAUACAUGGCGGGAGUUGCAUGCCUACACAAACACGCACGUACAAACAUUCAUUACGGGCAUACAGACAAAUAAGAGCCCUUCACUUUCAGGAGCGGAAUAAAAUGGAGUGAGAAGUCAGGC
Molecule: long non-coding RNA, 714 nt
Organism: Cyprinus carpio carpio
Lineage: Eukaryota; Metazoa; Chordata; Actinopteri; Cypriniformes; Cyprinidae
Source: Ensembl